Molecule: long non-coding RNA, 2616 nt
Organism: Orcinus orca (killer whale)
Lineage: Eukaryota; Metazoa; Chordata; Mammalia; Artiodactyla; Delphinidae
Exons: 3
Source: RefSeq, a predicted model, not a curated record
AAACCUUUCCUCCUUCACAGUUUCCUCCCACUGGUGCAUUGCCCAUCCUUAUUCUUUUGUCUCUGUUUAUUCUUUUUUCUUUUGCCCUACCCAGGUACGUGGGGGAGCUUCUUGCCUUUUGGGAGGUCUGAGGUCUUCUGCCAGUGUUCAGAAGGUGCUCUGUAGGAGCUGUUCCCCAUGUAGAUGUAUUUCUGAUGAAUUUGUGGGGAGGAGGGUGAUCUUCACGUCUUACUCUUCUGCCAUCUUGAAGCUCCACUAAAGGCCUCCUUGUUUAAUUUAACUGUGUAAUAGGACUUGUCUCUUGCCAGCAUUAUCAGAACUAUGAGGCUUAGUCAAUAAUUAUAGUUUAAGGCCUUCAGAGGUGUUAAAAACCACAGAUCCGAAAUAGUCACUUAUGCUAGGCUCCAUGUUACCAAACUCAGACUUAAUUACAGUUUUGGCUCUCCAGAAAUCGAAUCUUAAACCAGUCAGGAAUUGCCUGAUGAGCACUAGUUAGGUAAUCUGCCUGAUAAGACUCCUGUCAUCCCCUAAAGGAAAGAAACCUUGUGAUAACCCACCCUCUUUUAUGUCUAGUAUAACUUCCUUGUUCCUGCUGCUUUCUGCCUCUAAAAGUCUUUCAUUUUGUACAGGUCCUCAGUGCUCCUUUCUCUAUACUAGAUUGGAUACUGCCUGUUUCAUGAAUCAUUGAAUAAAGCCAAUAAGCUCUUUAAAAUUUACUCAGUUGAAUUUUGGUUUUUUUGACAACACCAUAUGCCAUGUGGGAUCUUAGUUCCCUGACCAGCGAUUGAACCCGCACCACCUGCAGUGGAAGUGAGGAGUUCUAACCCCUGGACUGCCAGGGAAAUCCCCGAAUUUUUUUUUUUUUAAAUAGAGGUAAACACUGCAUGAGGCAACCUUCCAGGAAACUUCAGUCUGAGCUCAUUUUGCCUACUGGAAAUGUUCCUAUAACUGUGUCUAUACUCCCCAGUGCUCUGUCCACUAUUACUAUAAAAUGUAACUAGUCCAAAAAUUGAGAUAACAUAAGACCACAGAGGUGGGAGCCACCGAUUCUGCCUGUGGAUGCUGGGGAAGAUUUUACAGUGGAGGUAAUUCUUAUAGGUUUGAGCCUAUUGUAGAAGGAUGGUAAGAGUUUUUCACACUACAUAAUUAAAAAAUGAUGUCAACAGGUGAUUCUGGCUUGCCCUUUUUGCAGGGAGUUCUUGCUGAUUCUCUCCUCCUCUUCCCCUUAAGAAUCAGAAAAUUUUAAACAGGCCAGCACCUUCUGGAGGUGAUCUAGCGUGAGAAUGCUGCCAGAUAGGGAUGAUCUACAUGGAUUGAGACUACUCAACCUAAUCAGAACUUCUCUCUUGGGCUGUGCCAGGAAGUAAAAGGAGGAAUAUGGAUAAGAGAGCCAGAGCUCCAGGAAUAGGAUGGGAUUAGAGGGGAGGGAUCACUAGAUGAAUGCCUCUGAGGAAAAAGAAGAGUUAAUAAAAAUUAUUGGGUCAUUGUUGGAGCCUGGCUUGGUAGCCAAGAAUGUGACUUCUUUUGCUUCUUGCUUCCUUACUUUUUAAUGUAUGUACUAAGAUCCAUCACAUAGUGUAGUAGAUAAAAAAUGGCCAAAAAUCCACUGGAGCUCCUGCCUUUAAGAGGUAGGUCUGUUUCCCCAUCCUUUUCAUUUAGAUUGGCCUUCAUAUACUGCGGAAGAAGGAAUGUGAGGUUUUCCAGACCUUAAGAAGUUUUGCACCUUUCACUCAUCUUUUUCUACUUCCACCAUGUGAACAAGCCUCAGCUACCCUGCUACAGAGGUAAUGUGGAAGAGACUGAGGCUCUCCAGCCAACAGCCUACCAAUUGCCCAACAGUAAACAACAAAUGUUGCCUGCCUUCAGCCACUGCAGCUGCCUCUGACAGUGCACCCUGAGUGGAAUUCACAAUGGAGAAAAAUAGGAUACUGGUCCCAGAUAAGAUUCAUAUCUAAGCCCCUGGAAAACUACCACUGGACUCUCUGCUUCUGUGAGUUUGACUAUUUUAGAUUUUACAUGUAAGUGAGUUCAUGCAGUACUUCUCUUUAUGUGUCUGCCUUUCUUUGCUUAGUGUAAUGUCUUCCACCUCCAUUCAUGUUGGCAGUAUUUUUUUACUGAGGCUGUAUUCCAAUGUGUUAUAUAUCAAUAUUUAUCAAGUAUCUAUCUACCUCAUAGUUUUUUUCUUUUAAUUGGAGUUUAGCUGAUUUUCAAUAUUGUGUUUCAGACGUACAGCAAAGUGAGUAUAAUAUGUAUAUUAUAUGUAUUUUCAGACUAUUUUCUGUUACAGGUUGUUGCAAGAUAUUGAAUAUAGUUCCCUGUGUUAUACAUUAAACCCUUGUUGAUUACCUAUUUUGUGUAUAGUAGUUUGCAUCUGUUUAUCCCACACUCCUAAUAUGAUCCUUCCCCUACUUUGGUAACCAUAAGUUUGUUCGUUUGUUCUCUAUGUUUCUGUUUUGUAUAUAGAUUCAUCUGUAUUAUUUAGAUUCCAUGUAUAAGUGAUAUCAUAUAAUAUUUGUCUUCUUCUGUCUAACUUCACUAAAUAUAAUAUUCUCUAGGUCCAUCCAUGUUGCUGCAAAUGGCAGUAUUUCUUUUUUUAUGGCUGAGUAAUAUGCCACU